This 75-nucleotide transfer RNA is filed under the name Salmo salar (Atlantic salmon). It matches the Rfam family "tRNA". Rfam says of the family: Transfer RNA (tRNA) molecules are approximately 80 nucleotides in length. The record is from Rfam by way of RNAcentral. Lineage: Eukaryota; Metazoa; Chordata; Actinopteri; Salmoniformes; Salmonidae.
GUCUACAUGGUAGAGCAUGGUGUUUGCAUGGUGUUUGCAACGCCAGGGUUGUGGGUUCGAUUCCCACGGGGGACC